AUUCCAGCUCCAAUAGCGUAUAUUAAAGUUGUUGCAGUUAAAAAGCUCGUAGUUGAAUUUCUGUUUUGAAAGGCUCGUGCUACUUCGGUAUGCAUCGAUGAUUCUUCUGAACAUUUUUCCAAAACGCUCGCUGCACUUUACUGUGUGGCGUUGCGUUUGGAUCUUUUACUUUGAGAAAAUUAGAGUGUUUCAAGCAAGCAUAUGCUUUGAAUACUGCAGCAUGGAAUAAUGUAAUAAGACUUCUGUCUUAUUUGUUGGUUUCUAAGACUGAAGUAAUGAUUGAUAGGGACAGUUAGGGGCAUUCGUAUUUAACUGUCAGAGGUGAAAUUCUUGGAUUUGUUAAAGACGAACUACUGCGAAAGCAUUUGCCAGGGAUGUUUUCAUCA
RNAcentral lists this ribosomal RNA (386 nucleotides) under Apicomplexa sp. Its description in RNAcentral is "partial small subunit ribosomal RNA". It matches the Rfam family "Eukaryotic small subunit ribosomal RNA", at positions 582 to 975 of the family's 1831-position model. The record is from RNAcentral. Lineage: Eukaryota; Apicomplexa.